Molecule: long non-coding RNA, 345 nt
Organism: Oncorhynchus tshawytscha (Chinook salmon)
Lineage: Eukaryota; Metazoa; Chordata; Actinopteri; Salmoniformes; Salmonidae
Exons: 2
Source: RefSeq, a predicted model, not a curated record
CCUAGAGGUAGUUGUGGGUCUAUAUUACUCUGCUGUCAACAGACUGACCUAGAGGUAGUUGUGGGUCUAUAUUACUCUGCUGUCAACAGACUGACCUAGAGGUAGUUGUGGGUCUAUAUUACUCUGCUGUCAACAGACUGACUAGACUGAUCUAGAGGUAGUUGUGGGUCUAUAUUACUCUGCUGUCAACAGACUGAGCUAGACUGACCUAGAGGUAGUUGUGGGUCUAUAUUUUGCAAAAGUACUUCCCAAAAUUCACCAGAUUUCCAGAAAUCCCAGGUUGUAGGAUUCCCAGAUUUCCCUUCUUGAUUUUAGGAAUCUGGGAUAAAAAAAUAAAAAAUAAAA